CCUGGCGGCGAGAGCGCGGUGGUCCCACCUGACCCCAUGCCGAACUCAGAAGUGAAACGCCGUAGCGCCGAUGGUAGUGUGGGGUCUCCCCAUGCGAGAGUAGGGAACUGCCAGGC
This 116-nucleotide ribosomal RNA is filed under the name Dickeya chrysanthemi. Lineage: Bacteria; Pseudomonadati; Pseudomonadota; Gammaproteobacteria; Enterobacterales; Pectobacteriaceae. The record is from RNAcentral. RNAcentral also lists the same sequence under 17 other names.